AUACGGAGGAUUCGAGCGUUAUCCGGAAUUAUUGGGUUUAAAGGGUGCGCAGGCGGACCGUUAAGUCAGCGGUGAAAAUCUGGUGCUUAACAUCAGGAGUGCCGUUGAUACUGGCGGACUAGAGUAUGAUUGACGUAAGUGGAAUGUAGCACGUAGCGGUGAAAUGCAUAGAGAUGCUACAGAACACCGAUAGCGAAGGCAGCUUACGAAGUCACAACUGACGCUCAGGCACGAAAGCGUGGGGAGCGAACAGGAUUAGAUACCCUGGUAGUCCACGCAGUAAACGAUGAUAACUGGCUUUUGGCGAUAGACGGUCAGAGGCUGAGAGAAAUCAAUAAGUUAUCCACCUGGGGAGUACGAUGGCAACAUUGAAACUUAAAGGAAUUGACGGGG
This 393-nucleotide ribosomal RNA is filed under the name uncultured bacterium. RNAcentral's name for it is "partial 16S ribosomal RNA". It matches the Rfam family "Bacterial small subunit ribosomal RNA", at positions 523 to 918 of the family's 1533-position model. The record is from RNAcentral.